RNAcentral lists this ribosomal RNA (388 nucleotides) under uncultured bacterium. RNAcentral describes it as "bacterial SSU rRNA". It matches the Rfam family "Bacterial small subunit ribosomal RNA", at positions 29 to 417 of the family's 1533-position model. The record is from RNAcentral.
AUUGAACGCUGGCGGAAUGCUUUACACAUGCAAGUCGAGCGGCAGCGCGGGGGCAACCCUGGCGGCGAGCGGCGAACGGGUGAGUAACAUAUCGGAACGUACCCCGUCGUGGGGGAUAACACAGCGAAAGCUGUGCUAAUACCGCAUACGACCUGAGGGUGAAAGCGGGGGAUCGCAAGACCUCGCGCGAUGGGAGCGGCCGAUAUCGGAUUAGCUUGUUGGUGAGGUAAAGGCUCACCAAGGCGACGAUCCGUAGCUGGUCUGAGAGGACGACCAGCCACACUGGAACUGAGACACGGUCCAGACUCCUACGGGAGGCAGCAGUGGGGAAUUUUGGGACAAUGGGGGCAACCCUGAUCCAGCCAUUCCGCGUGAGUGAAGAAGGCCU